RNAcentral lists this long non-coding RNA (1174 nucleotides) under Apteryx owenii (little spotted kiwi). Its description in RNAcentral is "lncRNA (ENSAOWG00000008362.1)". The record is from RNAcentral. Lineage: Eukaryota; Metazoa; Chordata; Aves; Apterygiformes; Apterygidae.
AUGCCGGGCCAUUGCCUCCUCCUCCUCCCUCCCCAUUGGUGGAGGACGGCGCCGCUGCCACAGAGAGCGAGCCAUCCCGCGGCCAGAGAGGACGCGCCGGGAGGACCGCCCGCCUCGUCUCGCCUCCUCCCGCGUUGUCAUGGCGCCCGCGGGAUGCCGGAAGCGCCGGCCGCGGCUGCCCAGGCCAACGGCCGCCUCGGGCCCCGCCGCCAUCUUCCACCCUUCAUCGCCUCCAGCUGCCCUUCGGCUACAGCCCCCCAAGAACCUGCCUCUCAGCUGAUAGCUUCUCUUUUUCCUAGGAUGGGUGUACCUGAAACACCUAAACCCAGCAGCAGAGACAACCCUUGUCUCACUGCGUCCAUGACCAGAGGACACCAACUGCGGGGCCCGGGACACGAUCCCGUCACCCAGCGCCAUCUGCAGAGCCUGGGACACAAUCCCAUCACCCAGCACCAUCCGCAGAGCCCGGGACACGAUCCCGUCACCCAGCGCCAUCUGCAGAGCCUGGGACACGAUCCCAUCACCCAGCACCAACCACAGAGCCCUGGACACAGCACCGCUGAAAAAUUGCUUGAGCUACUGAGCAGGCCUGACUGUUGUUGUAGCCGGUGGACAAUUUCACUUCUCUUCCAUCACAUAAACAAUUCAGCAUGCCUAAGGGCAGCCUGCUAUGAGUUCCCAGGAACUUUUAGAUGACAGAGAAAGGAGGAUGCUUAAUCCGCCAGGCAGAGAUGUACCUGUGAAAUUCCCAGGAGGAAACAUUUGAGCAAAGUCUUGAAGCUGCAGACUGAGAUGGGAACCGACUAAGGCACAGAUCAAGUAAACUGGUGGAUGAGGGCGCUAAGAGGGUCGGCUGAGGAACAGACUAAAUCACCCAUAGUAUACAGGUUAACCUAGAUGCAUUGACCUGUUAAAAUUUUUUUAUACACCUGUUUUAUGAGGAAUAUAUAUUCAUAAUGUCUGUCACUAUACUCAUACAGAGAACCUGUUUGCAGCUCAAAGCAGUGAAAUGGCAUCCAGCAUAUGAACGGCAAAUUGUUCCUUCUUUAGAAAAUAGCGAAGAGUUUCUGGCUACAUGUUAUCAUUAUGGUUUUAAUGCAUUCUCUGUCUCAUGUUUUCUUACGUAUAGUAAUAGUUGAUCGAAUAAAUAAUUGAGUUUUGAAAGAGUUGAGCA